UACGUAGGUGGCAAGCGUUAUCCGGAAUUAUUGGGCGUAAAGGGCGCGCAGGCGGUUUCUUACGUCUGAUGUGAAAGCCCACGGCUCAACCGUGGAGGGUCAUUGGAAACUGGGGAACUUGAGUGCAGAAGAGAAAAGCGGAAUUCCACGUGUAGCGGUGAAAUGCGUAGAGAUGUGGAGGAACACCAGUGGCGAAGGCGGCUUUUUGGUCUGUAACUGACGCUGAGGCGCGAAAGCGUGGGGAGCAAACAGG
RNAcentral lists this ribosomal RNA (253 nucleotides) under uncultured bacterium. RNAcentral's name for it is "partial 16S ribosomal RNA". It matches the Rfam family "Bacterial small subunit ribosomal RNA", at positions 524 to 776 of the family's 1533-position model. The record is from RNAcentral.